RNAcentral lists this ribosomal RNA (406 nucleotides) under uncultured bacterium. RNAcentral's name for it is "partial 16S ribosomal RNA". It matches the Rfam family "Bacterial small subunit ribosomal RNA", at positions 30 to 526 of the family's 1533-position model. The record is from RNAcentral.
AUUGAACGCUGGCGGCAGGCCUAACACAUGCAAGUCGAACGAGUGGCGGACGGGUGAGUAAUGUCUGGGAAACUGCCCGAUGGAGGGGGAUAACUACUGGAAACGGUAGCUAAUACCGCAUACCAUCGGAUGUGCCCAGAUGGGAUUAGCUAGUAGGUGGGGUAAAGGCUCACCUAGGCGACGAUCCCUAGCUGGUCUGAGAGGAUGACCAGCCACACUGGAACUGAGACACGGCCCAGACUCCUACGGUAGGCAGCAGGGGGGAAUUUUGCACAAUGGGCGCAAUCCUGAUGCAGCCAGGCCGCGUGUAUGAAGAAGGCCUUCGGGUUGUAAAGUACUUUCAGCGAGGAGGCGUUACUCGCAGAAGAAGCACCGGCUAACUCCGUGCCAGCAGCCGCGGUAAUUC